UACGUAGGGUGCAAGCGUUGUCCGGAAUUAUUGGGCGUAAAGCGCGUGUAGGCGGCUCGGUAAGUCCGGUGUGAAACCUUGGGGCUCAACCCCAAGCCUGCACUGGAUACUGUCGAGCUCGAGUCCGGGAGGGGAGAGCGGAAUUCCUAGUGUAGCGGUGAAAUGCGCAGAUAUUAGGAAGAACACCGGUGGCGAAGGCGGCUCUCUGGAACGGUACUGACGCUGAGACGCGAAAGCGUGGGGAGCGAACAGG
This 253-nucleotide ribosomal RNA is filed under the name uncultured bacterium. Its description in RNAcentral is "partial 16S ribosomal RNA". It matches the Rfam family "Bacterial small subunit ribosomal RNA", at positions 524 to 776 of the family's 1533-position model. The record is from RNAcentral.